RNAcentral lists this ribosomal RNA (403 nucleotides) under uncultured bacterium. RNAcentral describes it as "partial 16S ribosomal RNA". It matches the Rfam family "Bacterial small subunit ribosomal RNA", at positions 28 to 526 of the family's 1533-position model. The record is from RNAcentral.
GACGAACGCUGGCGGCGUGCCUAAUACAUGCAAGUCGAACGAGCGGCGGACGGGAGAGUAAUGUAUGGGGACUGCCCGAUAGAGGGGGAUAACUACUGGAAACGGUGGCUAAUACCGCAUACUAUCGGAUAACCCAAAUGGGAUUAGCUAGUAGGUGGGGUAAAGGCUCACCAAGGCGAUGAUCUCUAGCUGGUCUGAGAGGAUGAUCAGCCACACUGGAACUGUGACAGGGCCCGAACACCUACGGAGGCAGCAGUGGGGAAUAUUGGACAAUGGGCGCAAGCCUAAUGCUGCCAUGCCGCGUGUAUGAAGAAGGCCUUAGAAUUGUAAAGUACUUUCAGCGGGGAGGCGUUACCCGCAGAAGAAGCACCGGCUAACUCCGUGCCAGCAGCCGCGGUAAUUC